RNAcentral lists this ribosomal RNA (2788 nucleotides) under Escherichia coli. Its description in RNAcentral is "bacterial LSU rRNA". It matches the Rfam family "Bacterial large subunit ribosomal RNA". Lineage: Bacteria; Pseudomonadati; Pseudomonadota; Gammaproteobacteria; Enterobacterales; Enterobacteriaceae. The record is from RNAcentral.
UGAUUCGUCACACUAUCAUUAACUGAAUCCAUAGGUUAAUGAGGCGAACCGGGGGAACUGAAACAUCUAAGUACCCCGAGGAAAAGAAAUCAACCGAGAUUCCCCCAGUAGCGGCGAGCGAACGGGGAGCAGCCCAGAGCCUGAAUCAGUGUGUGUGUUAGUGGAAGCGUCUGGAAAGGCGCGCGAUACAGGGUGACAGCCCCGUACACAAAAAUGCACAUACUGUGAGCUCGAUGAGUAGGGCGGGACACGUGGUAUCCUGUCUGAAUAUGGGGGGACCAUCCUCCAAGGCUAAAUACUCCUGACUGACCGAUAGUGAACCAGUACCGUGAGGGAAAGGCGAAAAGAACCCCGGCGAGGGGAGUGAAAAAGAACCUGAAACCGUGUACGUACAAGCAGUGGGAGCACGCUUAGGCGUGUGACUGCGUACCUUUUGUAUAAUGGGUCAGCGACUUAUAUUCUGUAGCAAGGUUAACCGAAUAGGGGAGCCGAAGGGAAACCGAGUCUUAACUGGGCGUUAAGUUGCAGGGUAUAGACCCGAAACCCGGUGAUCUAGCCAUGGGCAGGUUGAAGGUUGGGUAACACUAACUGGAGGACCGAACCGACUAAUGUUGAAAAAUUAGCGGAUGACUUGUGGCUGGGGGUGAAAGGCCAAUCAAACCGGGAGAUAGCUGGUUCUCCCCGAAAGCUAUUUAGGUAGCGCCUCGUGAAUUCAUCUCCGGGGGUAGAGCACUGUUUCGGCAAGGGGGUCAUCCCGACUUACCAACCCGAUGCAAACUGCGAAUACCGGAGAAUGUUAUCACGGGAGACACACGGCGGGUGCUAACGUCCGUCGUGAAGAGGGAAACAACCCAGACCGCCAGCUAAGGUCCCAAAGUCAUGGUUAAGUGGGAAACGAUGUGGGAAGGCCCAGACAGCCAGGAUGUUGGCUUAGAAGCAGCCAUCAUUUAAAGAAAGCGUAAUAGCUCACUGGUCGAGUCGGCCUGCGCGGAAGAUGUAACGGGGCUAAACCAUGCACCGAAGCUGCGGCAGCGACGCUUAUGCGUUGUUGGGUAGGGGAGCGUUCUGUAAGCCUGCGAAGGUGUGCUGUGAGGCAUGCUGGAGGUAUCAGAAGUGCGAAUGCUGACAUAAGUAACGAUAAAGCGGGUGAAAAGCCCGCUCGCCGGAAGACCAAGGGUUCCUGUCCAACGUUAAUCGGGGCAGGGUGAGUCGACCCCUAAGGCGAGGCCGAAAGGCGUAGUCGAUGGGAAACAGGUUAAUAUUCCUGUACUUGGUGUUACUGCGAAGGGGGGACGGAGAAGGCUAUGUUGGCCGGGCGACGGUUGUCCCGGUUUAAGCGGGUAGGCUGGUUUUCCAGGCAAAUCCGGAAAAUCAAGGCUGAGGCGUGAUGACGAGGCACUACGGUGCUGAAGCAACAAAUGCCCUGCUUCCAGGAAAAGCCUCUAAGCAUCAGGUAACAUCAAAUCGUACCCCAAACCGACACAGGUGGUCAGGUAGAGAAUACCAAGGCGCUUGAGAGAACUCGGGUGAAGGAACUAGGCAAAAUGGUGCCGUAACUUCGGGAGAAGGCACGCUGAUAUGUAGGUGAAGCGACUUGCUCGUGGAGCUGAAAUCAGUCGAAGAUACCAGCUGGCUGCAACUGUUUAUUAAAAACACAGCACUGUGCAAACACGAAAGUGGACGUAUACGGUGUGACGCCUGCCCGGUGCCGGAAGGUUAAUUGAUGGGGUUAGCGCAAGCGAAGCUCUUGAUCGAAGCCCCGGUAAACGGCGGCCGUAACUAUAACGGUCCUAAGGUAGCGAAAUUCCUUGUCGGGUAAGUUCCGACCUGCACGAAUGGCGUAAUGAUGGCCAGGCUGUCUCCACCCGAGACUCAGUGAAAUUGAACUCGCUGUGAAGAUGCAGUGUACCCGCGGCAAGACGGAAAGACCCCGUGAACCUUUACUAUAGCUUGACACUGAACAUUGAGCCUUGAUGUGUAGGAUAGGUGGGAGGCUUUGAAGUGUGGACGCCAGUCUGCAUGGAGCCGACCUUGAAAUACCACCCUUUAAUGUUUGAUGUUCUAACGUUGACCCGUAAUCCGGGUUGCGGACAGUGUCUGGUGGGUAGUUUGACUGGGGCGGUCUCCUCCUAAAGAGUAACGGAGGAGCACGAAGGUUGGCUAAUCCUGGUCGGACAUCAGGAGGUUAGUGCAAUGGCAUAAGCCAGCUUGACUGCGAGCGUGACGGCGCGAGCAGGUGCGAAAGCAGGUCAUAGUGAUCCGGUGGUUCUGAAUGGAAGGGCCAUCGCUCAACGGAUAAAAGGUACUCCGGGGAUAACAGGCUGAUACCGCCCAAGAGUUCAUAUCGACGGCGGUGUUUGGCACCUCGAUGUCGGCUCAUCACAUCCUGGGGCUGAAGUAGGUCCCAAGGGUAUGGCUGUUCGCCAUUUAAAGUGGUACGCGAGCUGGGUUUAGAACGUCGUGAGACAGUUCGGUCCCUAUCUGCCGUGGGCGCUGGAGAACUGAGGGGGGCUGCUCCUAGUACGAGAGGACCGGAGUGGACGCAUCACUGGUGUUCGGGUUGUCAUGCCAAUGGCACUGCCCGGUAGCUAAAUGCGGAAGAGAUAAGUGCUGAAAGCAUCUAAGCACGAAACUUGCCCCGAGAUGAGUUCUCCCUGACCCUUUAAGGGUCCUGAAGGAACGUUGAAGACGACGACGUUGAUAGGCCGGGUGUGUAAGCGCAGCGAUGCGUUGAGCUAACCGGUACUAAUGAACCGUGAGGCUUAACCUUACAACGCCGAAGGUGUUU